RNAcentral lists this ribosomal RNA (587 nucleotides) under uncultured bacterium. Its description in RNAcentral is "bacterial SSU rRNA". It matches the Rfam family "Bacterial small subunit ribosomal RNA", at positions 338 to 917 of the family's 1533-position model. The record is from RNAcentral.
CCUACGGGAGGCAGCAGUGGGGAAUAUUGGACAAUGGGGGGAACCCUGAUCCAGCCAUGCCGCGUGUGUGAAGAAGGCCCUCGGGUUGUAAAGCACUUUCAGCGAGGAAGAACGCCUAGCGGUUAAUACCCGCUAGGAAAGACAUCACUCGCAGAAGAAGCACCGGCUAACUCCGUGCCAGCAGCCGCGGUAAUACGGAGGGUGCAAGCGUUAAUCGGAAUUACUGGGCGUAAAGCGCGCGUAGGUGGCUUGAUAAGCCGGUUGUGAAAGCCCCGGGCUCAACCUGGGAACGGCAUCCGGAACUGUCAAGCUAGAGUGCAGGAGAGGAAGGUAGAAUUCCCGGUGUAGCGGUGAAAUGCGUAGAGAUCGGGGGGAAUACCAGUGGCGAAGGCGGCCUUCUGGACUGACACUGACACUGAGGUGCGAAAGCGUGGGUAGCAAACAGGAUUAGAUACCCUGGUAGUCCACGCCGUAAACGAUGUCGACCAGCCGUUGGGUGCCUAGCGCACUUUGUGGCGAAGUUAACGCGAUAAGUCGACCGCCUGGGGAGUACGGCCGCAAGGUUAAAACUCAAAUGAAUUGACGGA